This 253-nucleotide ribosomal RNA is filed under the name uncultured bacterium. RNAcentral describes it as "partial 16S ribosomal RNA". It matches the Rfam family "Bacterial small subunit ribosomal RNA", at positions 524 to 776 of the family's 1533-position model. The record is from RNAcentral.
UACGGAGGAGGCAAGCGUUAUCCGGAAUUAUUGGGCGUAAAGCGUCCACAGGUGGCACCUCAAGUCUGCUGUCAAAGACCGGGGCUUAACCCCAGAAAGGCAGUGGAAACUGAAGUGCUAGAGUGCAGUAGGGGUAGAGGGAAUUCCCGGUGUAGCGGUGAAAUGCGUAGAGAUCGGGAAGAACAUCGGUGGCGAAAGCGCUCUGCUGGACUGCAACUGACACUCAGGGACGAAAGCUAGGGGAGCGAAUGGG